CGUCACACCAUGGGAGUGGGUUUUACCAGAAGUGGCUAGUCUAACCGCAAGGAGGACGGUCACCACGGUAGGAUUCAUGACUGGGGUGAAGUCGUAACAAGGUAGCCGUAUCGGAAGGUGCGGCUGGAUCACCUCCUUU
This 139-nucleotide ribosomal RNA is filed under the name Burkholderia gladioli. RNAcentral's name for it is "partial 16S ribosomal RNA". It matches the Rfam family "Bacterial small subunit ribosomal RNA", at positions 1395 to 1533 of the family's 1533-position model. Lineage: Bacteria; Pseudomonadati; Pseudomonadota; Betaproteobacteria; Burkholderiales; Burkholderiaceae. The record is from RNAcentral. RNAcentral also lists the same sequence under 3 other names.